CCCAUCUGGUUUGGGCUUAGUGUGACUAUCAUUUGUUUUUCAACAGGACAAUGACCCAACACACCUUCAGGCUGUGUAAGGGCUAUUUUACCAGGAAGGAGAGUGAUUGAGUGCUGCAUCAGAUGACCUGGCCUUCACAAUCCCCCAACCUCAACCAAAUUGAGAUGGUUUUGGAUGAGUCGGACCUCUGAGUGAAGCAGUCAACAAGUGCUCAGCAUAUGUGGGAACUCCUUCAAGACUGUUGGAAAAGCAUUCCAGGGACAUGAAUUGGGGAAAGGCAGAAUCUGUCUGAUGAAAGCAGCCAGAGCGGGACACCUGUGUACUGUACAGUUCCUAAUCAGCAAAGGUGCCAACAUCAACGCUUAGACAGAGGAGUCCAAGGAGACGACCCUGACUGGCCUUGCGUGGGGGCUUCCUGGACGUGGCUGACUUCCCCAUCAAGGCCGGGCUGACAUCGAGCUGGGCUCGACUACACCUCUCAUGGAGGCUGCACAGGAGCAACCCCUUGAGCUGAAUACCUGCUGGCUGCAGGAGCCCAUUUCUACACCACAAUGGUGGUAGGAGAGACAGCGUUGACAUUUACCUGUGAGAAGGGACACAGAGAUGUGGCUGAAAACAAGUACACACUAUAAACAAGUCUGCAAAUUGGUGUCCCUGAUAGUUGGAAGAUGGACAUGAGCGAGAUCUUAGAAUCGUCCUGCAGCGACGAGGACGUCACAGAAGGAAAGAAGAGGAGAAGGAAGUGCUCAGGGUGGUCACACCAUUGUGGUCUCCUACCUCAACAACAUCUUGUCAGUCCCCGCGACAGACCUAUCUCAGCUCACCCCCCCCCC
Salvelinus fontinalis (brook trout) is the source of this 833-nucleotide long non-coding RNA. RefSeq lists it as uncharacterized. The transcript has 5 exons. The record is from RefSeq and is a predicted model, not a curated record. Lineage: Eukaryota; Metazoa; Chordata; Actinopteri; Salmoniformes; Salmonidae.